This 301-nucleotide ribosomal RNA is filed under the name uncultured bacterium. Its description in RNAcentral is "partial 16S ribosomal RNA". It matches the Rfam family "Bacterial small subunit ribosomal RNA", at positions 509 to 807 of the family's 1533-position model. The record is from RNAcentral.
CAGCAGCCACGGUAAUACGAAGGGUGCAAGCGUUAAUCGGAAUUACUGGGCGUAAAGGGCGCGUAGGCGGAUCUUUAAGUCAGGGGUGAAAUCCCAAGGCUCAACCUUGGAACUGCCUUUGAUACUGGAGAUCUUGAGUCCGGGAGAGGUGAGUGGAACUGCGAGUGUAGAGGUGAAAUUCGUAGAUAUUCGCAAGAACACCAGUGGCGAAGGCGGCUCACUGGCCCGGUACUGACGCUGAGGCGCGAAAGCGUGGGGAGCAAACAGGAUUAGAUACCCGCGUAGUCCCUGUCUCUUAUAC